RNAcentral lists this ribosomal RNA (378 nucleotides) under Triticum aestivum (bread wheat). RNAcentral describes it as "partial small subunit ribosomal RNA". Lineage: Eukaryota; Viridiplantae; Streptophyta; Magnoliopsida; Poales; Poaceae. The record is from RNAcentral.
GUCUCCAGGGUGGUGUGGAGAAACGUGGGUUCCUUGCUUGGAACUGAUUGUUGUCCCAAUUCUGUUUGGCAAUAUUAUACAUGGAUGUACAGUUUCUUACCUGGGGUGGACAAAAUUUACACUGUUGGCUUGGCUGCUAUAUGUUGAGCUAUUUGGCUGGCCAGGAACCGAGCCACUUUUGAACUCAAAUGGAUUAACUCCCCAUUUGAGAUUGUUUUCACAGCUUGUGCUUUUUUGGUAAACUAGGCAGGUCUCCAGAAAGCAGAGAUGGGAGAGAUGGUGAAAAAAGGAGCGGAGAUGCUGAGGGAGAACACUACGCAGAUGAUGCUGCUUUGCGGCCCACCAGUUCCAGCUAAAGAUGGGCGCGACGAGAACUGA